GCCGGGUGUGGUGGUGCAUGCCUGUAAUCCCAGCUAACCAGGAGGCUGAGGCAGGAGAAUUGCUGGAACCUGGGAGGUGUGGAGGCUGCAGUGAGCUGAGAUUGUGCCACUGCACUCCAGCCUGGGUGACAGAGCAAGAUUCCGUCUCAA
RNAcentral lists this non-coding RNA (150 nucleotides) under Homo sapiens (human). Lineage: Eukaryota; Metazoa; Chordata; Mammalia; Primates; Hominidae. The record is from Rfam by way of RNAcentral.